RNAcentral lists this ribosomal RNA (466 nucleotides) under uncultured bacterium. RNAcentral's name for it is "bacterial SSU rRNA". It matches the Rfam family "Bacterial small subunit ribosomal RNA", at positions 28 to 507 of the family's 1533-position model. The record is from RNAcentral.
GACGACGGCUGGCGGCGUGCCUAACACAUGCAAGUCGAGCGGGGACAAUGGCUUCGGUUAUUGUUCUAGCGGCGGACGGGUGAGUAACGCGUGAGCAACCUCUCUCUCAGUGGGGAAUAACACAGGGAAACUUGUACUAAUACCGCAUAGGACCACGACCCGGCAUCGGGUUGAGGUGAAAGCUUUAUGUGCUGAAAGAUGGUCUCGCGUCUGAUUAGCUAGUUGGUGAGGUAACGGCUCACCAAGGCGACGAUCAGUAGCCGGUCUGAGAGGAUGAACGGCCACAUUGGGACUGAGAUACGGCCCAGACUCCUACGGGAGGCAGCAGUGGGGAAUAUUGGGCAAUGGGGGAAACCCUGACCCAGCAACGCCGCGUGAAGGAAGAAGGCUUUCGGGUUGUAAACUUCUUUUACCAGGGAGGAAACAAAUGACGUUACCUGGAGAAAAAGCCACGGCUAACUACGUG